ACUACGGGUGGCAGCAGUGGGGAAUAUUGGGCAAUGGGCGCAAGCCUGACCCAGCAACGCCGCGUGAAGGAAGAAGGCUUUCGGGUUGUAAACUUCUUUUGACAGGGAAGAGUAGAAGACGGUACCUGUCGAAUAAGCCACGGCUAACUACGUGCCAGCAGCCGCGGUAAUAGGGAGGUGGCAGGCGUUGUCCGGAUUUAAUGGGUGUAAAGGGCGUGUAGCCGGGUUGACAAGUCAGAUGUGAAAUCCUGCGGCUUAACCGCAGAACUGCAUUUGAAACUGUUGAUCUGGAGUACGGGAGAGGCAGACGGAAUGCGUGGUGUAGCGGUGAAAUCCGUAGAUAUCUGGAGGAACAUCAGUGGCGAAGGCGACUAUCUGGCACAUAACUGACGCUGAGGAGCGAAAGCGUGGGUAGCAAACAGGAUUAGAUACCCUGGUAGUC
RNAcentral lists this ribosomal RNA (442 nucleotides) under uncultured bacterium. RNAcentral's name for it is "partial 16S ribosomal RNA". It matches the Rfam family "Bacterial small subunit ribosomal RNA", at positions 338 to 795 of the family's 1533-position model. The record is from RNAcentral.